ACAGUACUCCCUCCGUUCCAUAAUUUUUGUCUAAAUAUUACAUGUAUCUAGACGCUUUUUAGGAAUAGAUGCAUCCAUUUUGGGGCAAAUUUGAGACAAGAAUUAUGGGCCGGAGGGAGUAGUAC
Brachypodium distachyon (stiff brome) is the source of this 125-nucleotide non-coding RNA. The record is from Rfam. Lineage: Eukaryota; Viridiplantae; Streptophyta; Magnoliopsida; Poales; Poaceae.